ACCUCAAAAACGGAGGACCCAGAGUUCACUUUCCCCAAAUUCAGAGCUCCCUAAGGGACCCUGACCUACCCCUACCCACAGCCCUCCAGGGCUCCCACCAACCUACCUGUAAAAGCUCAAAGUCCCCUCCCUGCCCUUCCCUCCUCCCUCUCUCCUGCUGGCUCACUCUGCUCCAACUCCAUUCUCCCAGUGCUGCAAACUUAUUCUGACCUCAGGACCUUUGCACAUGCUGUGUCCACUUCCUGGAAUGCCUUUCUCUUGGCUUUAGAACAACAGCUUUUUCAUCUGCCAUGCAGGGCUCAUCCCAGAUGUCACCUCCUGUCAGCUUUGGUCACCGGCAGUCAGUUGUCACCCUUCAACACACAUCCCUCUUUACUUCCUCCUUAGCAACUUGCUCCUACCCAAGUCUUACCUGUUUGCUCAUUUGGUGUCAAUCCCUCUUCUCUCCCACAGUGAUUUGUGUCCUCCCAAACCAGGCACAAUGCCUGGCACACCCCAGAGGCUGGAAAGACAGUUGUUAACUGUCUGGCUACCUGACCAUUUAUUAACACCGAUGAUGUGCAAGACGCUAUUGACAGGGAUUGCAUUAACCCUGUCAUUAUUUGCAUUCUACAAAUUAAUGGUCUGAGAUCUUCCUCUGCUCUAAAUUCUUCCACGGCUCCCCAGUGUCUCAGUAAAGAUCCAAGCUCAGUGCAGCAUAAGAGGCCCUUCAGGGCUGAGUCCCUGACUUCAAGGCUGACUCCCUGGCCUCAACUACCAUGUGAAAGUGAAGUUGCUCAGUCGUGUCCAACUCUUUGCGACCCCGUGGACUGUAGCCCACCAGGCUCCUCCGUCCAUGGGAUUCUCCAGGCAAGAAUACUGGAGUGGGUUGCCAUUUCCUUCUCCAGGGGAUCUUCCCUGACCCAGGGAUCGAACCCAGGGAUUGAACUCAGGUCUCCUGCAUUGCAGGCAGAUGCUUUAACCUCUGAGCCACCAGGGAAGCCCUUCAGCUACCAUGCCUCACCUAAUUCCUCCUUGACUCCAGCUGUGCUCCUUCACACCUCCAGGCCUUUGCAAACCCAGUUCCCUCUGCCCACAUCCACGAGGACAGAGACAUUCACCUGGCUGGCUCACUGCUGUGUUUCACAUCCACCAUAGGGCUCAG
RNAcentral lists this long non-coding RNA (1144 nucleotides) under Capra hircus (goat). RNAcentral describes it as "lncRNA (ENSCHIG00000007173.1)". Lineage: Eukaryota; Metazoa; Chordata; Mammalia; Artiodactyla; Bovidae. The record is from RNAcentral.